RNAcentral lists this small nucleolar RNA (182 nucleotides) under Talaromyces stipitatus ATCC 10500. Its description in RNAcentral is "Small nucleolar RNA snR80". It matches the Rfam family "Small nucleolar RNA snR80". The record is from Rfam by way of RNAcentral. Lineage: Eukaryota; Fungi; Ascomycota; Eurotiomycetes; Eurotiales; Trichocomaceae.
CAACCUUUGCCACACUCUGGCCAUUACCGUCCGAUUUCUAUCGGAAUUACAAGCUCCACGGUAACGGCCUAUUUUGACGCAAAGAAGAUAAAAUUUCUUGACCUGUUACUCACCGCGAUAUCUUUUCGGAAAGGAUUUCUUUUUCGAGGUGGAUAUAGUGGUCCAUCUUUGUUGGUCUACAU